GGACCAUGCAGGAGAUCCAUAGGUCAGCACCGGGCGUAUCAUUUGCUUGUAAACUCUGGCCUUAGUUCGUAGGCAGAGUUUACCUGACAGCAGAGGAUAGCAGGCAUGGAGCAGGAGUCUUGCCUUGGCGAUGGUGUUUGCCAUAUGGUCGUGCCAUACUAGCCGCUUGUCGUAUGUAAGUCCAAGAUAGGUUAUCUUGGACCUCCAUGGCAGCUUCUGUUUUGCAAGCUCUAGUAGGCCGAAUCGGGGUGUGCACGUCCCACUCCCAUACAUACAAAACUUUACCACUUCACGAGAAUAAAAUAUCUCCUUUCACUAAAACUCAGGCCAAUUGACAACGCCGCGGGGAAUCAAAAGGCAUAAAGGCAGGUAUUUGCCUUUUUGCUUUGUUGAAAUAUCGAAAUCCAGAUGUUGAUUGGUACUGAGCAGCAUCGUAGGCGAGCCCUGUUAUUUCAAAUCACAUGUUAUUUUAAAUAUCGAUAACAGGUACCGACUGUUCCAUAUCGAUGUCUGUUCCAAAAUACCUGUGACAAGUAUUUCGUGUCAUCCCUAUUGUGCACGAAGCAUCAAAUGUUCCAGUCGACUUUGCACGCAGCGAGUAAAUUUUUGGUACUUUUUUUCGCUCGCGUUUAUUGCUAAAUAAGUGUGUUUGGCGCUGUGGUCCAAACUGAUACUUCGAGAGGCGCCAUAAAUUAAUCGAUAGAAAUCCUGGGUGUUAAUCACACGACCUUAAAGCUUCCAGUGCGUCUGUGGAGACAAUUAUUUUGAAAACAGUCCGGUAAAGUUGCCCACCUGAUUGGGCAAAUGACCGUCCCCAAACAUGUCUGGUAGUUUUGCAAGCUCACCACAAAUUUACACAGCAAUAUUUUUAUUUUAUGUUAUAUUGCCACUGGUAGUGUGAAAAAAGCAGCGUAGAAGUAACAGAAGCGAUCUAAAAACACUGUUUUCGUGACUUGGAGAUGGUGGAAAUUGUCCGGAAAAGGUUAUGUUUGAUAGAUUUCUGCCCGUACAUUCCAGGUCAAAGGAAACCGUAUAGUUAGUCUUUGUACUACAACGGGAAAUCCCAUUAGAAUCAGAAGGUUGAUAAAAAUAUCUGGAUGUCUCUAAAAGACCCUGGAAGUUGCUAAGGAAAAGAACGUGAAGUUGCUGAAAGGAGAACGUUGAAGUUUCGGCUACGACCUUCUUUGGCUCAAGAGGAGGCGAUGUGACCUAACUUUUAUUAAGAAAAAAUGUUUGACGCCUCUGCUAUUGACUGUCAAGUUUUUUCUAAAAAAGUAUGUUUUUUGAAACUUUGGGCGAAUGGGGCGAUGGAUUGUAAUUAAACUCGCUGUGAAUUUGUUCUAAUGUAAGUACAGAAAGGAGAAAUCAGCAGAACUUUUUAUUUAGAGGCUGAAAUCAACUGAUUUUUUUUCGAGUUGAUGCACUACUUAAUAGGUUUUUGGCAUUUUUGUGCUCUUUAUACAAUUUUGUAGCA
This is a long non-coding RNA of Dendroctonus ponderosae (mountain pine beetle), 1474 nucleotides long. RefSeq lists it as uncharacterized. The record is from RefSeq and is a predicted model, not a curated record. Lineage: Eukaryota; Metazoa; Arthropoda; Insecta; Coleoptera; Curculionidae. The transcript is spliced from 3 exons.